RNAcentral lists this ribosomal RNA (1058 nucleotides) under Vibrio sp. AFZ08. Its description in RNAcentral is "bacterial SSU rRNA". It matches the Rfam family "Bacterial small subunit ribosomal RNA", at positions 407 to 1450 of the family's 1533-position model. The record is from RNAcentral. Lineage: Bacteria; Pseudomonadati; Pseudomonadota; Gammaproteobacteria; Vibrionales; Vibrionaceae.
GAAGAACGCCUUUCAGGUUGUAAAGCACUUUCAGUCGUGAGGAAAGGUUAGUGUAGUUAAUAGCUGCAUUAUUUGACGUUAGCGACAGAAGAAGCACCGGCUAACUCCCGUGCCAGCAGCCGCGGUAAUACGGAGGGUGCGAGCGUUAAUCGGAAUUACUGGGCGUAAAGCGCAUGCAGGUGGUUUGUUAAGUCAGAUGUGAAAGCCCGGGGCUCAACCUCGGAAUWGCAUUUGAAACUGGCAGACUAGAGUACUGUAGAGGGGGGUAGAAUUYCAGGUGUAGCGGUGAAAUGCGUAGAGAUCUGAAGGAAUACCGGUGGCGAAGGCGGCCCCCUGGACAGAUACUGACACUCAGAUGCGAAAGCGUGGGGAGCAAACAGGAUUAGAUACCCUGGUAGUCCACGCCGUAAACGAUGUCUACUUGGAGGUUGUGGCCUUGAGCCGUGGCUUUCGGAGCUAACGCGUUAAGUAGACCGCCUGGGGAGUACGGUCGCAAGAUUAAAACUCAAAUGAAUUGACGGGGGCCCGCACAAGCGGUGGAGCAUGUGGUUUAAUUCGAUGCAACGCGAAGAACCUUACCUACUCUUGACAUCCAGAGAACUUUYCAGAGAUGGAUUGGUGCCUUCGGGAACUCUGAGACAGGUGCUGCAUGGCUGUCGUCAGCUCGUGUUGUGAAAUGUUGGGUUAAGUCCCGCAACGAGCGCAACCCUUAUCCUUGUUUGCCAGCGAGUAAUGUCGGGAACUCCAGGGAGACUGCCGGUGAUAAACCGGAGGAAGGUGGGGACGACGUCAAGUCAUCAUGGCCCUUACGAGUAGGGCUACACACGUGCUACAAUGGCGCAUACAGAGGGCGGCCAACUUGCGAAAGUGAGCGAAUCCCAAAAAGUGCGUCGUAGUCCGGAUCGGAGUCUGCAACUCGACUCCAUGAAGUCGGAAUCGCUAGUAAUCGUGGAUCAGAAUGCCACGGUGAAUACGUUCCCGGGCCUUGUACACACCGCCCGUCACACCAUGGGAGUGGGCUGCAGAAGAAGAUAGGUAGUCAACAAGUCGUAAGCAAG